GACGAACGCUGGCGGCGUGCUUAACACAUGCAAGUCGAACGGAAAGGCCCUGCUUUUGUGGGGUGCUCGAGUGGCGAACGGGUGAGUAACACGUGAGUAACCUGCCCUUGACUUUGGAAUAACUUCAGGAAACUGGGGCUAAUACCGGAUAGGAGCUCCUGCUGCAUGGUGGGGGUUGGAAAGUUUCGGCGGUUGGGGAUGGACUCGCGGCUUAUCAGCUUGUUGGUGGGGUAGUGGCUUACCAAGGCUUUGAGGGGUAGCCGGCCUGAGAGGGUGACCGGCCACAUUGGGCCUGAGAUACGGCCCAGCCCCCUCCGGGAGGAAGCAGUGGGGAAUAUUGCACAAUGGGCGGAAGCCUGAUGCAGCAACGCCGCGUGCGGGAUGACGGCCUUCGGGUUGUAACCCGCUUUCGCCUGUGACGAAGCGUGAGUGACGGUAAUGGGUAAAGAAGCACCGGCUAACUACGUG
RNAcentral lists this ribosomal RNA (468 nucleotides) under uncultured bacterium. RNAcentral describes it as "partial 16S ribosomal RNA". It matches the Rfam family "Bacterial small subunit ribosomal RNA", at positions 28 to 507 of the family's 1533-position model. The record is from RNAcentral.